CCUACGGGUGGCACCAGUGGGGAAUUUUGGACAAUGGGCGAAAGCCUGAUCCAGCAAUGCCGCGUGUGUGAAGAAGGCCUUCGGGUUGUAAAGCACUUUUGUCCGGAAAGAAAUGGCUCUGGUUAAUACCUGGGGUCGAUGACGGUACCGGAAGAAUAAGGACCGGCUAACUACGUGCCAGCAGCCGCGGUAAUACGUAGGGUCCAAGCGUUAAUCGGAAUUACUGGGCGUAAAGCGUGCGCAGGCGGUUGUGCAAGACCGAUGUGAAAUCCCCGAGCUUAACUUGGGAAUUGCAUUGGUGACUGCACGGCUAGAGUGUGUCAGAGGGGGGUAGAAUUCCACGUGUAGCAGUGAAAUGCGUAGAGAUGUGGAGGAAUACCGAUGGCGAAGGCAGCCCCCUGGGAUAACACUGACGCUCAUGCACGAAAGCGUGGGGAGCAAACAGGAUUAGAUACCCUAGUAGUC
RNAcentral lists this ribosomal RNA (465 nucleotides) under uncultured bacterium. RNAcentral's name for it is "bacterial SSU rRNA". It matches the Rfam family "Bacterial small subunit ribosomal RNA", at positions 338 to 795 of the family's 1533-position model. The record is from RNAcentral.